UACGUAGGGGGCAAGCGUUGUCCGGAUUUAUUGGGCGUAAAGAGCGUGUAGGCGGCCAGAAAAGUCCGCUGUGAAAACUCGAGGCUCAACUUCGAGCUGUCGGUGGAAACUUUCUGGCUAGAGUCCGGAAGAGGAGAAUGGAAUUCCUGGUGUAGCGGUGAAAUGCGCAGAUAUCAGGAAGAACACCCGUGGCGAAGGCGGUUCUCUAGUACGGUACUGACGCUGAGACGCGAAAGCGUGGGGAGCGAACAGG
RNAcentral lists this ribosomal RNA (253 nucleotides) under uncultured bacterium. Its description in RNAcentral is "partial 16S ribosomal RNA". It matches the Rfam family "Bacterial small subunit ribosomal RNA", at positions 524 to 776 of the family's 1533-position model. The record is from RNAcentral.